This is a long non-coding RNA of Polypterus senegalus (gray bichir), 732 nucleotides long. RefSeq lists it as uncharacterized. NCBI's taxonomy places the organism in Eukaryota, Metazoa, Chordata, Cladistia, Polypteriformes, Polypteridae. The record is from RefSeq and is a predicted model, not a curated record. The transcript is spliced from 3 exons.
AUAAGAGUGAACACCAGAGGGCGCUCUAGCUUUACGUAAUCCUCCUGGAUCGCUCGGCCUGCUCGGCGCAGGUAACGAGACGCGCAUGGCGUGCCUACUCAGCACUGAUCGCCAAGGAAGCAGCGGCACUUUGGCGAAAUUUCGGGACAUCCCGUUCUCCGCACGCUCCCUUUCUGGGCGCUUUGUUCUCAUUUACGCGGCAUUGAAAGAAUGCGUGAAAAGAAAGAAAAAGAAAGAAAGGUCAAGACCUUGGUACCCACACAGAGCUGACGUCAGAACAGGAUACCAUUAGUGACAGUGCGCCCUCUUGCCUUGGAGUCGGAUUGCUUACCUCAGUCAAGCUUGUCUGGGGACCCCUGGACACAUAUGUGUGACAAGCACAGAAAGGCCAACUAACUGGUUCCUGGGCUAUAAAUCUGAGAUCUCAUCCUGAGGUAAAAUGUCACUUGAGGCUCCAGUGACCGAGGAGAGGAGCUCAGGGAAAGAAGAUUCGACUCCCCCAUUGCAGUGGGGUGACUUUAUUUUGUUAAUGUUGUUAAACGCCAUCAUGUUUGUCAAGUAAAAGGGGUCAGCCGGCUUGGCUUGGUGCCCCAAAGUGCUGCAGAUGUACCAGCUUGCUAUUCCUCAGGUGACCACAGUAAAGGCAGGAUAGCGGUUACUAGUGUUGGCUUAAUUAUCUGUUGUUCUUUUUAUUAUCCAUUCAUUUUAAUUUAUCACCAUCUAUUCAUUUAC